GAUGAACGCUAGCUACAGGCUUAACACAUGCAAGUCGAGGGGCAUCGGGAAGAAAGCUUGCUUUCUUUGCCGGCGACCGGCGCACGGGUGAGUAACACGUAUCCAACCUGCCCUUUACUCGGGGAUAGCCUUUCGAAAGAAAGAUUAAUACCCGAUAGCAUAAUGAUUCCGCAUGGUUUCAUUACUAAAGGAUUCCGGUAAAGGAUGGGGAUGCGUUCCAUUAGGUUGUUGGUGGGGUAACGGCCCACCAAGCCUUCGAUGGAUAGGGGUUCUGAGAGGAAGGUCCCCCACAUUGGAACUGAGACACGGUCCAAACUCCUACGGGAGGCAGCAGUGAGGAAUAUUGGUCAAUGGGCGCUAGCCUGAACCAGCCAAGUAGCGUGAAGGAUGAAGGCUCUAUGGGUCGUAAACUUCUUUUAUAUAAGAAUAAAGUGCAGUAUGUAUACUGUUUUGUAUGUAUUAUAUGAAUAAGGAUCGGCUAACUCCGUGCCAGCAGCCGCGGUAAUACGGAGGAUCCGAGCGUUAUCCGGAUUUAUUGGGUUUAAAGGGAGCGUAGGUGGACUGGUAAGUCAGUUGUGAAAGUUUGCGGCUCAACCGUAAAAUUGCAGUUGAUACUGUCAGUCUUGAGUACAGUAGAGGUGGGCGGAAUUCGUGGUGUAGCGGUGAAAUGCUUAGAUAUCACGAAGAACUCCGAUUGCGAAGGCAGCUCACUGGACUGCAACUGACACUGAUGCUCGAAAGUGUGGGUAUCAAACCAGG
This 759-nucleotide ribosomal RNA is filed under the name uncultured bacterium. RNAcentral describes it as "bacterial SSU rRNA". It matches the Rfam family "Bacterial small subunit ribosomal RNA", at positions 28 to 777 of the family's 1533-position model. The record is from RNAcentral.